CCGCCGUAGAAUCUACCACGUCAAACUGGAGCACACUCACCACUAUGCGAAAUCCACCAACACAAUGGUUGAGCAACACUCUUCUCUCAUAAGGAAUCCACCUAGGAGAUAGGAGCAAGAAGAAAUCCUUCUUCUCAAAUAAAAGUAGAAACUUCAACUCAACUUGACUUGCUUUCAUUAUAAAAUUAUUAUAUAUUUAUAUACUUACAAAAGACCUUUCAACUUCCUUACGCAUUAACUAACUCAUAAUUUUUAUAGAAAAACUAAAAGACACUUCUAGAACUACUAAAAGACACACGCUAUUCUAAACUACCAUAACUCAUUUUUAAGAAAACAAAAA
This 340-nucleotide long non-coding RNA is filed under the name Ananas comosus (pineapple). Its description in RNAcentral is "long non-coding RNA (ACOM_LNC011776)". The record is from RNAcentral. Lineage: Eukaryota; Viridiplantae; Streptophyta; Magnoliopsida; Poales; Bromeliaceae.